This 76-nucleotide transfer RNA is filed under the name Eggerthella sp. CAG:1427. RNAcentral describes it as "transfer RNA-Phe(GAA)". It matches the Rfam family "tRNA". From Rfam's summary of the family: Transfer RNA (tRNA) molecules are approximately 80 nucleotides in length. Their secondary structure includes four short double-helical elements and three loops (D, anti-codon, and T loops). The record is from RNAcentral. RNAcentral also lists the same sequence under 5 other names. Lineage: Bacteria; Bacillati; Actinomycetota; Coriobacteriia; Eggerthellales; Eggerthellaceae.
GGUUGGGUAGCUCAGCUGGUAGAGCAGCGGAUUGAAAAUCCGCGUGUCGCGGGUUCAAGUCCCGCCCCGACCACCA